Molecule: ribosomal RNA, 1130 nt
Filed under: Delphacodes alexanderi
Lineage: Eukaryota; Metazoa; Arthropoda; Insecta; Hemiptera; Delphacidae
Description: SSU rRNA
Rfam family: Eukaryotic small subunit ribosomal RNA
Source: RNAcentral
CUGUGUCCUUCGACGCCGGUUCACCGCCUGUCGGUGCCAACUGGCGUUUUGCGGGACGUCCUGUCGGUGGUGUGUCAGGAAUCUUAGUUGUGCUAUGCUCUGCUUAGUGCAGCUCUGGUUUCGGGCCACUUUCAUAAUCCCGCCGCGGUGCUCUUCACCGAGUGUCGAGGCGGGCCGGCACGUUUACUUUGAACAAAUUAGAGUGCUUCAAGCAGGCUUGUCACGCCUGUAUACUGUGUGCAUGGAAUAAUGGAAUAGGACCUCGGUUCUAUUUUGUUGGUUUCCGGAAUCUGAGGUAAUGAUCAAUGGGGACAGGCGGGGGCAUUCGUAUUGCGACGUUAGAGGUGAAAUUCUUGGAUCGUCGCAAGACGGACCGAAGCGAAAGCAUUUGCCAAGUAUGUUCCCGUCGAUCAAGAACGAAAGUUAGAGGUUCGAAGGCGAUCAGAUACCGCCCUAGUUCUAACCAUAAACAAUGCCUGCCAGCGAUCCGCCGGCGUCCCUCCGAUGACCCGGCGGGCAGCUUCCGGGAAACCAGAGCUUUUGGGUUCCGGGGGAAGUAUGGUUGCAAAGCUGAAACUUAAAGGAAUUGACGGAAGGGCACCACCAGGAGUGGAGCCUGCGGCUUAAUUUGACUCAACACGGGAAAACUCACCAGGCCCGGACACCGGAAGGAUUGACAGAUUGAUAGCUCUUUCUUGAUUCGGUGGGUGGUGGUGCAUGGCCGUUCUUAGUUGGUGGAGCGAUUUGUCUGGUUAAUUCCGAUAACGAACGAGACUCUAGCCUACUAACUAGACGUAUCUGGUAUCAGCAAUCGUGCUACCAGCGAUCAUAUCUCUUCUUAGAGGGACAGGCGGCUUCUAGCCGCACGAGACUGAGCAAUAACAGGUCUGUGAUGCCCUUAGAUGUCCUGGGCCGCACGCGCGCUACACUGAAGGAAUCAGCGUGUCUUCCCUGUCCGAAAGGACCGGGUAACCCGCUGAACCUCCUUCGUGCUUGGGAUUGGGGCUUGCAAUUGUUCCCCAUGAACGAGGAAUUCCCAGUAAGCGCGAGUCAUAAGCUCGCGUUGAUUACGUCCCUGCCCUUUGUACACACCGCCCGUCGCUACUACCGAUUGAAUGAUUUAGUGAGGU